CGAGCACCGGUUCACGUCCCUACGACGACCCGGCGGCU
Molecule: non-coding RNA, 38 nt
Filed under: unclassified sequences
Description: L31-Actinobacteria ribosomal protein leader
Rfam family: L31-Actinobacteria ribosomal protein leader
Source: RNAcentral